AUUGAACGCUGGCGGCAUGCCUUACACAUGCAAGUCGAACGGCAGCACGGGAGCAAUCCUGGCGGCGAGUGGCGAACGGGUGAGUAAUAUAUCGGAACGUGCCCAGUCGUGGGGGAUAACGUAGCGAAAGCUACGCUAAUACCGCAUACGAUCUAUGGAUGAAAGCGGGGGAUCGCAAGACCUCGCGCGAUUGGAGCGGCCGAUAUCAGAUUAGGUAGUUGGUGAGGUAAAGGCUCACCAAGCCGACGAUCUGUAGCUGGUCUGAGAGGACGACCAGCCACACUGGGACUGAGACACGGCCCAGACUCCUACGGGAGGCAGCAGUGGGGAAUUUUGGACAAUGGGCGCGAAGCCUGAUCCACGCAAUGCCGCGUGCAGGAUGAAGGCC
This 388-nucleotide ribosomal RNA is filed under the name uncultured bacterium. RNAcentral's name for it is "bacterial SSU rRNA". It matches the Rfam family "Bacterial small subunit ribosomal RNA", at positions 29 to 416 of the family's 1533-position model. The record is from RNAcentral.